AGAUUGAACGCUGGCGGCAUGCCUUACACAUGCAAGUCGAACGGCAGCACGGGAGCAAUCCUGGUGGCGAGUGGCGAACGGGUGAGUAAUACAUCGGAACGUGCCUAGUAGUGGGGGAUAGCCCGGCGAAAGCCGGAUUAAUACCGCAUACGACCUACGGGUGAAAGCGGGGGAUCGCAAGACCUCGCGCUAUUGGAGCGGCUGAUGUCAGAUUAGGUAGUUGGUAGGGUAAAAGCCUACCAAGCCGACGAUCUGUAGCUGGUCUGAGAGGACGACCAGCCACACUGGGACUGAGACACGGCCCAGACUCCUACGGGAGCAGCAGUGGGAAUUUGGACAAUGGG
Molecule: ribosomal RNA, 344 nt
Filed under: uncultured soil bacterium
Lineage: Bacteria
Description: bacterial SSU rRNA
Rfam family: Bacterial small subunit ribosomal RNA
Source: RNAcentral